UUUAAACUCCAUCUUUACACAUUAGUAUCUCAAACUAACUAAUUUAUCUGCUUCUUGGACACUUUGGAGAACGACAGGGAGAGGAAGAGAGAAACUGGAGAAACUUUCUGCGACACUUCCGGUUGAAGCUUCCGGUAAUCACGCCCAGGUGUGUUCAGGUGUUCUCAGGUGUGUAUAUCAUUGUUUCGAGCAGGUAAGCGGUGCGGACCGCGGGCAGCCUGGCUGUGGAUCAAAGCGGUGGAAGAAGAAGGAGCCGGGGAAGGAGAGAUGAAGUCUAGAUACUCAGAACUCUGUUGACGUCUUCCAGGAGGAUCCCCCGUCGGUGACCGUCUUCCUGCUCAGGUAGGAGACUCAAAGCUUUCUUAAUGUUGUUUUAUUAUGUUCCAGGUUUUAGGUCUUAUAG
Molecule: non-coding RNA, 403 nt
Organism: Labrus bergylta (ballan wrasse)
Lineage: Eukaryota; Metazoa; Chordata; Actinopteri; Labriformes; Labridae
Source: RefSeq, a predicted model, not a curated record